GGGCUCGUAGCUCAGCUGGUAGAGCGUGCGCUGUACAAAAGCGUAGGCGGCGUCCAUGCUUGGGUUCGAAUCCCACCGAGGCUA
This 84-nucleotide transfer RNA is filed under the name Echinostoma caproni. It matches the Rfam family "tRNA". From Rfam's summary of the family: Transfer RNA (tRNA) molecules are approximately 80 nucleotides in length. Their secondary structure includes four short double-helical elements and three loops (D, anti-codon, and T loops). Further hydrogen bonds mediate the characteristic L-shaped molecular structure. tRNAs have two regions of fundamental functional importance: the anti-codon, which is responsible for specific mRNA codon recognition, and the 3' end, to which the tRNAs corresponding amino acid is attached (by aminoacyl-tRNA synthetases). tRNAs cope with the degeneracy of the genetic code in two manners: having more than one tRNA (with a specific anti-codon) for a particular amino acid; and 'wobble' base-pairing, i.e. permitting non-standard base-pairing at the 3rd anti-codon position. Lineage: Eukaryota; Metazoa; Platyhelminthes; Trematoda; Plagiorchiida; Echinostomatidae. The record is from Rfam by way of RNAcentral.